Molecule: small RNA, 472 nt
Filed under: Pongo abelii (Sumatran orangutan)
Lineage: Eukaryota; Metazoa; Chordata; Mammalia; Primates; Hominidae
Description: retained intron
Source: RNAcentral
ACAUCACAUCUCUGGUAGGUGCUGGAACCCUCAUGGUACUGCUGCUUUUAAUUUUGCUUUUGGAAUGUUUCUUUGUAGCUGAAGCUUUAGUGAUGAGAAGAUGGAAAUACCCUCAUUGACCUUUAGUGUUUUCUCCUGUGAUAUAUAUCAAGUCGCUUAGUUUGACAUUGUUGAACUUAUUUCCUAAGCAAAAAACAGCAGAAGAAGAAAAUCCAGAGCAUGUAGAAAUUCAGAAGAUGAUGGAUUCCCUCUUCUUAAAAUUGGAUGCCCUCUCAAACUUCCACUUUAUCCCUAAACCGCCUGUACCAGAGAUUAAAGUUGUGUCAAAUCUGCCAGCCAUAACCAUGGAGGAAGUAGCCCCAGUGAGUGUUAGUGAUGCAGCCCUCCUGGCCCCAGAGGAGAUCAAGGAGAAAAAUAAAGCUGGAGAUAUAAAAACAGCUGCUGAAAAAACAGCUACAGACAAGAAACGAGA